Molecule: ribosomal RNA, 2975 nt
Filed under: bacterium
Lineage: Bacteria
Description: 23S ribosomal RNA
Rfam family: Bacterial large subunit ribosomal RNA
Source: RNAcentral
GGGAAAGUUACUCAGAGCGUCAGGUGGAUGCCUUGGCACCAAGAGGCGAUGAAGGACGUGAUAAGCUGCGAUAAGCGACGGUGAGGAGCAAAUAUCCGUAGACCCGUCGAUUUCCGAAUGGGGCAACCCAAUCCGAGUCAUGUCGGAUUAUUGCAUACUGAAUACAUAGGUCUGCAAAGCGAACGCUGUGAACUGAAACAUCUAAGUAGCAGCAGGACAAGAAAAUAAAGAAUGAUUUUGCUAGUAGCGGCGAGCGAACGCGAAAUAGCCCAAACCAAUGCAAUGUUAAAGCAUGCGGGCGUUGUUGCAUUGGGGUCGUGGGGCCGACAAGAAGAGCUGCAUCUCUUCACUCGAUGGUAUAUUGAUAGUCGAACCGAUCUGGAAAGGUCGACAAAAUAGGGUGAUAGUCCCGUAGGCAAAAUCAAUAUAUCACGUGGCCGGUACCCCAAGUACUGCGGGACACGUGGAAUCCUGUGGGAAUUCGGGAGGACCAUCUCCUAAGGCUAAAUACUCCUUGGUGACCGAUAGUGAACCAGUACCGUGAGGGAAAGGUGAAAAGCACCCCGGGAGGGGAGUGAAAUAGUACCUGAAACCUGUCGCUUACAAUCGGUGGGAGCCCCGUAAGGGGUGACCGCGUACCUUUUGCAUAAUGAUCUGGCGAGUUGCACCUCGGUAGCAAGGUGAAGUAGUUAAGCUAUUCAGCCGCAGCGAAAGCAAGUCCGAAUAGGGCGCAUAGUUACCGGGGGCAGACGCGAAACCGUGUGAUCUAGGCAUGAUCAGGUUGAAGCGCGGGUAAAACCGCGUGGAGGACCGAACCAGUUGAUGUUUAAAAGUCAUUGGAUGAAUUGUGCCUAGGGGUGAAAGGCCAAUCAAACUCGGAGAUAGCUCGUACUCCUCGAAACGUAUCUAGGUACGGCCUCUCGUGUUAGUCUAUUGGAGGUAGAUCACUGGAAGGGCUAGGGCUGUCACAACGGAACCGACCCCUACCAAAAUCCGAAUGCCAAUUAGAUAUCCGAGGGAGACAGGCCACGGGAGCUAAGUUUCGUGGCCAAAAGGGGAAGAACCCAGACCGUCGGCUAAGGUCCCCAAGUUAUAUACUCAGUGAAUAAGGAUGUGAGAUUGCUCAGACAGCUAGUAUGUUGGCUUAGAAGCAGCCAUCAUUUAAAGAGUGCGUAAUAGCUCACUAGUCAAGCGAUCUUGCGCCGAAAAUUGUCGGGACUAAGUUAUACACCGAAGCCACGGGUCAAUUCUUUGAAUUGGCGGUAGAGGAGCAUUCUAAUCGCCUGUGAAGGUGUGGCGCGAGCCAUGCUGGAGGUUUUAGAAAAGCGUAUGCCAGAAUGAGUAACGAUCAAAGCGGUGAAAAACCGCUUCGCCGUAAGUCUAAGGUUUCCCGAGUAAAGGUAAUCUGCUCGGGGUUAGUCGGUCCCUAAGGCGAGGCUGAAAAGCGUAGCUGAUGGAAAACGGGUUAAUAUUCCCGUACGGGUGUGUGGAGGUUGAUCUAAGGAGGGACGCAGGAACGUAAGGUCCGCCAACUGUUGGAUGUUGGUCUAAGUGCGUAGGCCGUUCUGGUAGGCAAAUCCGCCGGAAUAAAGCCGAGACACGAAUGGGAGGCGUAAGCCGCAAACGGGCCCCAUGUACGCUGCCAAGAAAAUCUUCGUAGGGACAAAAUACGCCCACCGUACCGCAAACCGACUCAGGUAGACGGGGAGAAUAUCCUAAGGUGUUCGAGAGAACCAUGGUUAAGGAACUCAGCAAACUAGCUCCGUAACUUCGGGAGAAGGAGCGCCUGUUACUGCUUCGGACUUCGCGUCCAAAGGCGGUGAUGGGCCGCAGUGAAAGGGCCCAGCCAACUGUUUACUAAAAACACAGGUCUCCGCUAAGUCGUAAGACGACGUAUGGGGACUGACACCUGCCCGGUGCCGGAAGGUUAAAUAGAGGGGUCAGCGAAAGCGAAGCUCUGAUAUGAAGCCCCGGUAAACGGCGGCCGUAACUAUAACGGUCCUAAGGUAGCGAAAUUCCUUGUCGGGUAAGUUCCGACCUGCACGAAUGGUGUAAUGAUCUGGGCGCUGUCUCGACCAUGGACUCGGUGAAAUUGAAGUGCUGGUGAAGAUGCCAGCUUCCCGCAGCAGGACGGAAAGACCCCGUGGACCUUCACUGCACCCUGAUAGUGAUGUUUAGCUCAUUCUGCGUAGGAUAGGUGGGAGACGAUGAAGCCGGUACUCUGGUAUCGGUGGAGCCAACCUUGAAAUACCACCCUGGAUUUGUUGAACGUCUAACUCGAUCCCAUUAGCUGGGAGGAGGACACUGUCAGGCGGGUAGUUUGACUGGGGCGGUCGCCUCCAAAAGAGUAACGGAGGCGCACAAAGGUUCCCUCAGCGCGGUCGGUAAUCGCGCAUCGAGUGCAUAGGCAACAGGGAGCUUGACUGCGAGACCAACAUGUCGAGCAGGUGCGAAAGCAGGUCUAAGUGAUCCGGUGGUCCCGAAUGGAAGGGCCAUCGCUUAUCGAAUAAAAGGUACCCCGGGGAUAACAGGCUGAUCUCCGCCAAGAGUUCACAUCGACGCGGAGGUUUGGCACCUCGAUGUCGGCUCGUCGCAUCCUGGGGCUGAAGAAGGUCCCAAGGGUUUGGCUGUUCGCCAAUUAAAGCGGUACGCGAGCUGGGUUUAAAACGUCGCGAGACAGUUUGGUCCCUAUCCGCUGUGGGCGAAGGUUCUUUGAGGGGAGUUGCCAUUAGUACGAGAGGACCGUGGUGAACGAACCGCUGGUGUACCGGUUGUCCCGCCAGGGGCACCGCCGGGUAGCUAUGUUCGGAACGGAUAAGCGCUGAAAGCAUCUAAGUGCGAAGCCGGCCCCAAGACUAGAGAACCCUUCCGUAAGGACUAAAGCGCCGUCGUAGACCACGACGUCGAUAGGUCGCAGGUGUAAGAGCAGUAAUGCUUUAGCCGAGCGAUACUAAUAGCGCGUGAGACUUUCUCGA